GGGCGUUAAGUUGCAGGGUAUAGACCCGAAACCCGGUGAUCUAGCCAUGGGCAGGUUGAAGGUUGGGUAACACUAACUGGAGGACCGAACCGACUAAUGUUGAAAAAUUAGCGGAUGACCUGUGGCUGGGGGUGAAAGGCCAAUCAAACCGGGAGAUAGCUGGUUCUCCCCGAAAGCUAUUUAGGUAGCGCCUCGUGAACUCAUCUCCGGGGGUAGAGCACUGUUUCGGCUAGGGGGCCAUCCCGGCUUACCAACCCGAUGCAAACUGCGAAUACCGGAGAAUGUUAUCACGGGAGACACACGGCGGGUGCUAACGUCCGUCGUGAAGAGGGAAACAACCCAGACCGCCAGCUAAGGUCCCAAAGUCAUGGUUAAGUGGGAAACGAUGUGGGAAGGCCCAGACAGCCAGGAUGUUGGCUUAGAAGCAGCCAUCAUUUAAAGAAAGCGUAAUAGCUCACUGGUCGAGUCGGCCUGCGCGGAAGAUGUAACGGGGCUAAACCAUGCACCGAAGCUGCGGCAGCGACACUCAGGUGUUGUUGGGUAGGGGAGCGUUCUGUAAGCCUGUGAAGGUGUGUCGUGAGGCAUGCUGGAGGUAUCAGAAGUGCGAAUGCUGACAUAAGUAACGAUAAAGCGGGUGAAAAGCCCGCUCGCCGGAAGACCAAGGGUUCCUGUCCAACGUUAAUCGGGGCAGGGUGAGUCGACCCCUAAGGCGAGGCCGAAAGGCGUAGUCGAUGGGAAAC
Molecule: ribosomal RNA, 740 nt
Filed under: Salmonella enterica subsp. enterica serovar Thompson
Lineage: Bacteria; Pseudomonadati; Pseudomonadota; Gammaproteobacteria; Enterobacterales; Enterobacteriaceae
Description: bacterial LSU rRNA
Rfam family: Bacterial large subunit ribosomal RNA
Source: RNAcentral